Long non-coding RNA from Gavialis gangeticus (Gharial), 118 nucleotides. RefSeq lists it as uncharacterized. The transcript has 3 exons. NCBI's taxonomy places the organism in Eukaryota, Metazoa, Chordata, Crocodylia, Gavialidae. The record is from RefSeq and is a predicted model, not a curated record.
AAUGGAUUAAAGUAAUGAAGAGAUUUGAAAAACUGCAAUUACCCAUUGUAUUAAUGUUAUAUAUACCGUUGUAUUACUGUUAUAUUACCAUUGGAUUAGACUAGGGGUUAUCAAACUC